Molecule: non-coding RNA, 2168 nt
Organism: Callithrix jacchus (white-tufted-ear marmoset)
Lineage: Eukaryota; Metazoa; Chordata; Mammalia; Primates; Cebidae
Source: RefSeq, a predicted model, not a curated record
CUUGGUAACCGGCUAGAAAUCCCGCAGGCGCGCCUCCCUCCUCUCUCCAGGCCUGACCUGCCCCUCCCCUCCUCCUUCCUCCUUCCCCCUUCCCGCAAGGCAGGAGCUUCGCAAGGGCUCAGAGACGGGGUGGGCUGCGCGACCCUGCGUCAGCUCCAGGCGAGAGAAAGCGCGUCCUCUCCCGCGUCCCUGGAAACCGCGGGCUUUCGGGGCUGCGCAGAGCCGUGGAAUUCUGCUGGUUGGAGACGCGCUGGGCGCGGCCCUUUUACCUGGCCUUCGUGUUCUGCCUGGCCCUGGGGCUGCUCCAGGCCAUUAAGCUCUACCUGAGGAGGCAGCGGCUGCUGCGGGACCUGCGCCCCUUCCCAACGCCGCCCACCCACUGGUUCUUUGGGCACCAGAAGGCUGUAGUGCAAUGGCUGCGAUCUCGGCUCACUGCAACCUCCGCCCCCGGGUUCAAGCGAUUCUCCUGCCUCAGCCUCCCAAGUAAAGGAUUACAAGCACGCGCCACCACGCUGGGCUAAUUUUGUGUUUUUAGUAGAGACGGGAUUUCUCCAUGUUGGUAGGCUGGUCUCGAACUCCAGACCUCAGACCCCAAGUCCCAGUAUGUACAGAAAUUCUUAUCUCCUCUUAUUGGAAAAGGACUAGUGCUCUAGAUGGACCCAAGAGAUUCCAGAAUCAUCACCUACUAACUUCUGGAUUCCAUGUUAACAUCCUGAAAGCAUACAUCAAGGGACCAGCUGGGUGAAAUGUUGUACACCACAAUGUGCAUCAAGGAGACAUUCUGAUUGAUUCCUGCAGUCCCAUCCAUUUCCAGAGAUCUCAGCAAGCCGCUUACCUUCCCAGAUGGAUGCACAUUGCCUGCAGGGAUCACUGUGGUUCUUAGUAUUUGGGGUCUUCACCACAACCCUGCUGUCUGGAAAAACCCAAAGGUCUUCGACCCCUUGAAGUUUUCUCAGGAGAAUUCUGAUCAGAGACACCCCUAUGCCUACUUACCAUUCUUAGCUGGAUCAAGGAACUGCAUUGGGCAGCAGUUCGCCAUGAUUGAGUUAAAGGUGGCCAUUGCCUUGAUUCUGCUGCACUUCAGAGUGACUCCAGACCCCACCAGGCCUCCUACUUUCUCCAACCAUUUUAUCCUCAAACCCAAGAAUGGGAUGUAUUUGCACCUGGAGAAACUCCCUGAAUGUUGGAUCUCAGGGUAGAAUGAUUAAAUAUACUUUGCUUUUAAGUUAAAUUUACAGCUGCUGGUCCAAGCAGAUCAUAAGGGAUCAAUGUGUGGUGGGAGGAUUGGAGGUUGGUGGCAUAGGGAUCUCUGUGAAGCUACACAUGAUCCAAAAUUAUUUCUAGGUACACAGUGUAUCAGCUAGAUCUGUUACUACAUGACUUUUAGAGAUUUUUAGAUCUUUUCUGUUAGACUUUCACUACUAUUAAUGCUAUAUACCAGCAGACUUUCAUAUAUUUUCUUUCAUUUUAAAAAAUAGUUUUCAGAACUAUGCAAUAAGUGCAUGUAUGCUCACUGUCAAAAAUUCCCAACUAGAAAAGCAUGUAGAAUAAAAAUUUUAAAUCUCACUUCACAUUCCAUAGCCUACAUUUCAUGCCCUGACCAAUCCCACUGCUUGGGAUGGGGAGAGAUAGCAUGGGGAGAAAUGCCAGAUAUAGGUGAAGGGGAGGAAGGCAGCAAAUCACACUGCCAUGUGUGAAUCUAUGCAACUAUCUUGCAUGUUCUUCACAUGUACCCCAAAACCUAAAAUGCAAUAAAAAAACAAGCAAUAAAAAUAUACCUACCCUGUUUGUACUCCAUUACACAAAAUAUAAAAACUCUCAAAAUACUCUGUUAUAAAAAAUAUACAAUGUCCUUUUUUACUGUUAUAAAAUAUAUACACUGUCUAGAUGUACUGUCAUAAAAUAUAUCCAAAUUCUAUCUCUACUCUGUUAUAAAAAAUAUACAUUAAACUGAUUGUACUCCAUUAUACAAAAUAUAAAAACUCAAAAUUCUGUUUUCAAAAAUAUACAAAGUCCUUUUGUACUCUGUUAUAAAAUAUAUACAUUGUCUAUAUGUACUCUCUUCUAAAACAUAUUCAAAUUCUAUUUGUACUUUGUUUUAAAAACUAUACAUACCUGUUUGUACUCCAUUAUACAAAAUGUAAAAAUGCUUAAAAUACUGUUUUAAA